RNAcentral lists this small RNA (1464 nucleotides) under Arabidopsis thaliana (thale cress). RNAcentral describes it as "ATSL262850". The record is from RNAcentral. Lineage: Eukaryota; Viridiplantae; Streptophyta; Magnoliopsida; Brassicales; Brassicaceae.
UUAUUUGAAUUUUGAUAACCAACAAUCAUACAUGAAUAAUUGUUUCCAUCAAUUUUUCAUAAAAGUUUAAAAGUUUAAGGUUUUGUUUUCUUUCUUCUUACAUCAUGUAAACAAACUUGACCAUUAGUUUGUAGUGGUAGCAUUUCUCACAUGUGUUAUGCAUGUUAUUUGAGUUACAUAUGUAUGGUGGUAUCAUUGCCCAUAGUGAGAUGAUAUAAUCUUCAUUCCUUAUAAUCCUGAUUUCAUAAAGUGUAGUUUUGAUAUUUUUCCAGCAUUUUUCAACUACAGAUUCAUUUAUCUUCUACAGCAGGUGCUCAAUAUAUGUUUUCUCAAUUUCAAUCUCUCCACUGCACAAAUUUAUCUAUCCAUAGAGAUAAAAAGCCUCAAUGGUAGGUGAUGGUGCAUUUACAGCAUUUUUGAAAAAAUGUAACCCAUCAGUUGUAUUGUUGUAAUAAAAAUAAUCAAGAACUCUUUGAUUGUGCGGUGGGGUUAAAAUGGAGUAGGCAUUUCACCAUUAGAUUAAUGUAGUUCUCAAUAGGAAGCAACACCUUCCUUUGAAGCAUACGCAAUUCCAAUUUUUUGAAAACUUUGACAUCAUCAGCCGAGAUUUACGAAUUCCUUGCAAGUGAGUAGGCAAUUUGAAACAUCAACAAGGGGUUUUUGGCCUACAUUCUUUACUAUUUUAGAAAGAACAUCUCGAGGGAGUGCAUCAAGCGGUGUUGAACGUUUCAGUCCAAAAGGUUAGGAUUGAUGGUGAGUUACUAUGGAUGCUCUUAGUAUCCUAUACAUUUUGUGUUGUUCAUCCAUUACGAAAAAUAAUAGAUAUUAGAAUUUACAAUAUGAAUGGACACUUUGGUAGGUGUACAAUUCAUAUACACAAAAUGAUGGAUGGAAAAUAAUGAUGAGAAUGAUGUGCAUGCCCUGUCACUCGUACGUAAAAGCCUUGAGUGUGGUAAAUGUUAGGUUUCCCUUAUUUAUUUAUAAGAGCAUUAAAUUGUAAUGAUGUCUAACAUGUAAUGGUGAUUGAUUAGUAUUGUUUAGAUAACACUUUUUUUUUAAUGGUCGGUAAUUUAAGUAGUGGCGAAACCGCACGGUGCGAUGUUGUUUCAAUUGUAACAAAAAUAUCUACAUAAUAUAUAUGUGUAUGUAUAUAUUUUCGUUACUAUUUGAACCGCACUACACUUGAUCCGCAGUUGAACCGUUCAUCUUCAUUCGAAGCCUAGUUUAUAGGUGUAUUUAUAUAUACAUUUUGUUUGGUAUAUUAGUAAGUGUACAUAUAUAUAUUAAGUAUUUAUUUUUGUGAUUGUUAUUCUUUUUUGUUUUUAUGUUUUUUUCAUUUGUGUCUUAUGCCUAUCAUAUGGCUUAAUAUUGCCGAGUAAAGCUUUUCAUUUUUGUAUUAAUGUAUGGUUUGCUUUUGUUGUAAUCCUAAUUGUUUAACUUUUACAAACUUGUGAUCAGCUAUAA